RNAcentral lists this ribosomal RNA (679 nucleotides) under uncultured bacterium. RNAcentral describes it as "bacterial SSU rRNA". It matches the Rfam family "Bacterial small subunit ribosomal RNA", at positions 57 to 747 of the family's 1533-position model. The record is from RNAcentral.
GCAGCCGAGCGAGAACGCUCUCCCCUUUUGGGGAGAGUUAGUAAAGCGGCGGACGGCUUAGUAAAACGUAGGUACCUACCCUCAGGACCGGGAUAACUCGCCGAAAGGCGAGCUAAUACCGGAUAAUCCCUAGCGGGCAAAGACUCCGGUGCCUUUGGAGGGGCCUACGCCCUAUUAGCUAGUUGGUGAGGUAAAUGCUCACCAAGGCGAUGAUGGGUAGCUGGUCUGAGAGGAUGGCCAGCAAGACUGGGACUGAGACACGGCCCAGACUCCUACGGGAGGCAGCAGGUCAGAAUAUUGCGCAAUGGGUUCACCGCCUGACGCAGCGAUGCCGCGUGAGGGAAGACGGCCAUACGGUUGUAAACCUCUGUCGGGAGGGACGAACACUGGCUAGGCCAGUUGACGGUACCUCCAACAGGAAGCCUCGGCUAACUACGUGCCAGCAGCCGCGGUAAUACGUAGGAGGCGAGCGUUAUCCGGAAUCACUGGGCGUACAGGGUCCGCAGGCUGGCUCGUGUGUCGAAGGUGAAAUCCCGGGGCUCAACCCCGGAAGUGCCUUCGAAACUGCGAGUCUAGAGGAAACCAGAGGGUGAUGGAAUUCCCGGAGUAGCGGUGAAAUGCGUAGAUAUCGGGAAGAACGCCAGUGGCGAAAGCGAUCCCCUGGGGUUUUCCUGACGCU